GACGAACGCUGGCGGCGUGCUUAACACAUGCAAGUCGAACGGAAAGGCCCUGCUUGCAGGGUACUCGAGUGGCGAACGGGUGAGUAACACGUGGGUGAUCUGCCCUGCACUUCGGGAUAAGCCUGGGAAACUGGGUCUAAUACCGGAUAGGAGCCAUUUUUAGUGUGAUGGUUGGAAAGUUUUUUCGGUGUAGGAUGAGCUCGCGGCCUAUCAGCUUGUUGGUGGGGUAAUGGCCUACCAAGGCGGCGACGGGUAGCCGGCCUGAGAGGGUGGACGGCCACAUUGAGUCUUAGGGACGGCAGAGGCUGCGACGGGUGGCAGAUGUGGGGAAUAUUGCACAAUGGGCGCAGGCCUGAUGCAGCGAGGCCGCGUGGGGGAUGACGGCCUUCGGGUUGUAGACUACUUUCGCUAGGGACGAAGCUUUUUGUGACGGUACCUAGAUAAGAAGCACCGGCUAACUACGUG
This 465-nucleotide ribosomal RNA is filed under the name uncultured bacterium. Its description in RNAcentral is "partial 16S ribosomal RNA". It matches the Rfam family "Bacterial small subunit ribosomal RNA", at positions 28 to 507 of the family's 1533-position model. The record is from RNAcentral.